UGUGAUAACUGCCAUGAAGAAACUUAGUUGGUUGAGCCUAAAAUAUAAGACACCUCUGACCCGUUGAAAGGCUAUUGUUUGAGCUUCAUCAAAUAAACACAUUACUACUAUUUUAGAUUGACAGAUUAUUUCUUUUCGAUUCCAACCUCUAAAAUAAGCACAUAAAAGGUACAUAAUUUGCGAAACUUACUUGCAUAUUCAGUGAAUUGCAUCCACCAAGACGUCCAACAAUGUGCCAAGAACGAA
This 246-nucleotide long non-coding RNA is filed under the name Nicotiana benthamiana. Its description in RNAcentral is "long non-coding RNA (NBEN_LNC001193)". Lineage: Eukaryota; Viridiplantae; Streptophyta; Magnoliopsida; Solanales; Solanaceae. The record is from RNAcentral.